GGCCAAUGACGCGCAUCCCGUUUGCCCUGGCCCGACGCACCAGCUCGUGCUGGCGGGCGAGUCCCCGCUCGCCGUCGUCGGCGAAUCCGGCAGUGGCCACCA
Molecule: transfer RNA, 102 nt
Filed under: Paenarthrobacter aurescens TC1
Lineage: Bacteria; Bacillati; Actinomycetota; Actinomycetes; Micrococcales; Micrococcaceae
Also listed under: 2 other names
Description: tRNA-Und (NNN) (tRNA-Und-NNN-2-1)
Source: RNAcentral